AAACAACAAGCAUACAUGACGACUAUACAUUUCCUCAUUUACUUAGAGGUAAUCCGAUGAAAACCCACCUCAAACGCGAUUCCUUUGGCAGCAACUCGAUCUCGGAUCACAAGUAACACAGCUGGAAACACCUCCAAACCAGCAACAAUCCCCUCAAAAUCUUGACGUUACAAUUCGCCCAAAAUCCAGCAAAAACCAUCAAUUCACCAAAAAUAUCAGCACGUAAGCUUAAUUAUCUCAACUCCAAUAUCAAAACUCACCUAACGAUCUCCAAAUCAGGUAAGGGCAGUCCUGAAUC
This 298-nucleotide long non-coding RNA is filed under the name Ananas comosus (pineapple). RNAcentral's name for it is "long non-coding RNA (ACOM_LNC026446)". Lineage: Eukaryota; Viridiplantae; Streptophyta; Magnoliopsida; Poales; Bromeliaceae. The record is from RNAcentral.